UCCUACGGGAGGCAGCAGCAAGGAAUUUUGGGCAAUGAGCGAAAGCUUGACCCAGCGACACCGCGUGAGGGAAGAAGGCCUUCGGGUCGUAAACCUCUUUUCUUGGGGAAGAAUUUUGACGGUACCCAAGGAAUAAGCCUCGGCCAACUACGUGCCAGCAGCCGCGGUAAUACGUAGGAGGCGAACGUUAUUCGGAUUUACUGGGCGUAAAGUGAGCGUAGGCGGUUCUCUAAGUCAGAUGUGAAAUCUUCUGAUUCAAUCAGAAGGCGUCAUUUGAUACUGAGGGACUUGAGAGCAGCAGAGGGAAAUGGAAUCCCCGGUGUAGCGGUGAAAUGCGUAGAUAUUGGGGAGAACACCAGUGGCGAAGGCGAUUUCCCAGGUUGUUUCUGACGCUGAGGCUCGAAAGCGUGGGGAGCGAACAGGAUUAGAUACCCGGGUAGUCCA
Molecule: ribosomal RNA, 444 nt
Filed under: uncultured bacterium
Lineage: Bacteria
Description: bacterial SSU rRNA
Rfam family: Bacterial small subunit ribosomal RNA
Source: RNAcentral